GGUGGUUGCUAUGGUAACCUGGGUGGUUGCUAGGAAGUUGCUAAGGUACUUGGGGUGGUUGCUAAGUGGUUGCUAGGAUGUUCUGGGUGGUUGCUAGGCGGUUGCUAGGCAGUUGCUAAGGUACUUGGGGUGGUUGCUAGGCGGUUGCUAGGGUGUUCUGGGUGGUUGCUAGGCGGUUGCUAGACAGUUGCUAAGGUACUUGGGGUGGUUGCUAAGGUGUUGCUAGGUGGUUGCUAGGGUGCUCUGGGUGGUUGCUAGGCGGUUGCUAUGGUAACCGGGGUAGUUGCUAUGCUGUUACUAGGUGGUUGGUAGUUGUCACAGAUGGUCACUAUGUAGCUUAUAUAGAGUUCUUAGCAUGUUGUUAGCCAAUUUGAG
Cyprinus carpio carpio is the source of this 375-nucleotide long non-coding RNA. The record is from Ensembl. Lineage: Eukaryota; Metazoa; Chordata; Actinopteri; Cypriniformes; Cyprinidae.